RNAcentral lists this transfer RNA (92 nucleotides) under Alistipes sp. cv1. Its description in RNAcentral is "tRNA-Pro(ggg)". Lineage: Bacteria; Pseudomonadati; Bacteroidota; Bacteroidia; Bacteroidales; Rikenellaceae. The record is from RNAcentral.
UACCUGGUGUUCGACGAGGACGACGAUUGCGCCCGUUGGGAACGGGUCGAGUUCUAUUAUCCGAUGGAUCCGUUCAAAAUGGGUUCGGGUAA